GUUAAAGAAAGCCGUGAGGAUCCUGGAAUGCGAAGUAGACUCUGCGAUCGUGGUGAAACCAUGACCGUAUUGAAUAAUAUGAAGGUAUUUCUUUUCUACAUUUAAUAUAUAUCAUUUGUAUUUGACUUACAUUCUCAUGGUUGUUUUUGUUCCUGUGAUGGGGUGACAGGGAACAUCAUCGAUCCGAGGAAUCGUAUUUGACGUCAAAAAGAAGUUUGUGAGGACGCCAAGUGCAGUUGAAAUUACGUCGAGCAAUCUACAAAACAAUCUGAGCAUCAACUCUAUGUUCAAUUACAUUAAGAGUAAAAUUGUGAAGUUUCCAGCAGAGGAAAAGCCAAAGAGUUCUGAAAUCACCAUUCCCGUAGAACCUUUUGUGCCAAUGUCGAAGUUGAGACUUCUUCAGAUUAAUCACGUGGAAUUGGAAGGAAAUCUUAAACUCCUCCCAUCUGAACUCAAGUGGUUACAGUGGAGAGGUUGCCCAUUAAAAAGUCUUCCAC
Molecule: long non-coding RNA, 497 nt
Filed under: Eutrema salsugineum
Lineage: Eukaryota; Viridiplantae; Streptophyta; Magnoliopsida; Brassicales; Brassicaceae
Description: long non-coding RNA (ESAL_LNC000596)
Source: RNAcentral